AAUGAACGCUGGCGGCGUGCUUUACACAUGCAAGCCGAGCGAGGCCAGGUAGCAAUACCUGAGUCGAGCGGCGCACGGGUGAGUAACGCGUGGAUAACCUGCCUGAUGGUGGGGGAUAACCCGGGGAAACUCGGGCUAAUACCGCAUAACACCGAGAGGUCAAAGGGGGCCGCAAGGCUCUCGCCUGCAGAGGGGUCCGCGUCCGAUUAGCUAGUUGGCAGGGUAAUGGCCUACCAAGGCGACGAUCGGUAGCCGGCCUGAGAGGGUGAUCGGCCACACUGGAACUGAGACACGGUCCAGACUCCUACGGGAGGCAGCAGUGGGGAAUUUUGCGCAAUGGGCGAAGGCCUGACGCAGCAACGCCGCGUGGAGGAUGAAGGUCUUCGGGAUU
This 391-nucleotide ribosomal RNA is filed under the name uncultured bacterium. Its description in RNAcentral is "bacterial SSU rRNA". It matches the Rfam family "Bacterial small subunit ribosomal RNA", at positions 28 to 424 of the family's 1533-position model. The record is from RNAcentral.